RNAcentral lists this ribosomal RNA (468 nucleotides) under uncultured bacterium. Its description in RNAcentral is "partial 16S ribosomal RNA". It matches the Rfam family "Bacterial small subunit ribosomal RNA", at positions 28 to 507 of the family's 1533-position model. The record is from RNAcentral.
GACGAACGCUGGCGGCGUGCUUAACACAUGCAAGUCGAACGGAAAGGCCCUGCUUUUGUGGGGUGCUCGAGUGGCGAACGGGUGAGUAACACGUGAGUAACCUGCCCUUGACUUUGGGAUAACUUCAGGAAACUGGGGCUAAUACCGGAUAGGAGCUCCUGCUGCACGGUGGGGGUUGGAAAGAUUCGGCGGUUGGGGAUGGACUCGCGGCUUAUCAGCUUGAUGGUGGGGUAGUGGCUUACCAAGGCUUUGACGGGUAGCCGGCCUGGGAGGUUGGCCGGGCACAUUGGGACUGAGGUACGGCCCAGACUCCUACGGGAGGCAGCAGUGGGGAGUAUUGCACAAUGGGCGGAAGCCUGAUGCGGCAACGCCGCGUUCGGGAUGACGGCCUUCUGGUUGUAAACCGCUUUCGCCUGUGACGAAGCGUGAGUGACGGUAAUGGGUAAAGAAGCACCGGCUAACUACGUG